Molecule: unclassified non-coding RNA, 338 nt
Filed under: soil metagenome
Description: partial contains 5.8S ribosomal RNA, internal transcribed spacer 2, and large subunit ribosomal RNA
Rfam family: 5.8S ribosomal RNA (bases 1-120)
Source: RNAcentral
GAUGAAGAACGCAGCGAAAUGCGACAAGUAAUGUGAAUUGCAGAAUUCCGUGAAUCAUCGAAUCUUUGAACGCACAUUGCGCCCGGUAGUAUUCUGCCGGGCAUGCCUGUUCGAGCGUCAUUUCAACCAUCAAGCCCCAGCGCUUGUGUUGGGGGCCUGCGGCUGCCGCAGCCCCCUAAAAGCAGUGGCGGGCUCGCUAUCACACCGAGUGCAGUAGUUCAUCUUCUCUCCGGUCUUGUGAGGCGGGUUCCGGCCGUGAAACACCCCACUACAUUCAAGGUUGACCUCGGAUCAGGUAGGAAUACCCGCUGAACUUAAGCAUAUCAAUAAGCGGAGGA